AUUGAACGCUGGCGGCAGGCCUAACACAUGCAAGUCGAGCGAGCGGCGGACGGGUGAGGAAUGUAUGGGGACUGCCCGAUAGAGGGGGAUAACUACUGGACACGGUAGCUAAUACCGCAUACUAUCGGAUAACCCAUAUGGGAUUCGCUAGUAGGUGAGGUAAGGGCUCACCUAGGCGACGAUCCCUAGCUGGUCUGAGAGGUUGAUAAGCCACCCUGGAACGGAGACACGGCCCGGACACCUACGGAGGCAGGAGGGGGGAAUAUUGCACAAGGGGCGCAAGCCGGAUGCAGCCAUGCCGGGUGUAUGAAGAAGGCCCUAGGGUUGUAAGGACUUUCAGUCGGGAGGCGUUACCGACAGAAGAAGCACCGGCUAACUCCGUGCCAGCAGCCGCGGUAAUUC
Molecule: ribosomal RNA, 402 nt
Filed under: uncultured bacterium
Lineage: Bacteria
Description: partial 16S ribosomal RNA
Rfam family: Bacterial small subunit ribosomal RNA
Source: RNAcentral